Molecule: long non-coding RNA, 991 nt
Filed under: Triticum aestivum (bread wheat)
Lineage: Eukaryota; Viridiplantae; Streptophyta; Magnoliopsida; Poales; Poaceae
Description: long non-coding RNA (TAES_LNC010010)
Source: RNAcentral
UUUCUUUUUUGAGUCGCAAGUCGCCAUAUUCUGAAUUGUAAGUUCACUCACAAGUUUUUUUUUUUGGAGAAGUAGUUCACUCACAAGCUGAGGGGGAUAAUUAGAGACAGGUUAUAUAGGCCGAAGAGAAGCAAAUAUGGGCCCUGCAAGCAAAUCGGGAAGUUGGCCCAGUACAUCUAGCCGAAGGCUGAGCCCACAGAUAAGCAAAUAUGGCCCGUGUAAAUUACCAAUCGAACAGCCCACGACUUAUCUGGUUCUCUCUCCGACACCGAGAGGAAACAUGUUUGGUACCCUGCCGUGCCGCGUACGUGUCCGACACGACUCGCACCUCCUUAGGGCAACCAGUAUAUAUACACGUCCUACGCCCCCAACCCUGCAACGCCAACACACUUUCCGCUAGUUCCAUCGCCUGCCGCCGUAAGAUCAUCGUCGUCGACAUCGUCGAGAGCUUUUGGAUCAACUUCGUCUUUCAGUCGUCGCCGCCAAGGUAUCAACAAUGCCGCCCAAGCCUCUCAAGAAGCCCAAGGCCCAGAAGAAAGAGUACGACGAGGUAUGUAGCGCUGAUCUACGAGCGUAUGCACCACCCCUGUUUGUUUAUUUAUUUUCUUUCAAAAAUCAAAGGUUAACUAGAUGGUCGCCGAUUACGACGAUUUGCUUCUUCGUACCUGACGAGCCUGGGUUUUCUCUGUUGUGCAGACCGAUCUGGAGAACUUGAAGAAGAAGGAGGACGAGAAGGCCGUCAAGGAGCUCAAGGCCAAGGCCGCGCAGAAGGGCCCGCUAGGAGGCGCCGGUCUCAAGAAGAGCGGCAAAAAGUGAUCCUGCUCGUUUUCCAAAACUUAGUUAUCUGUACUUAGAAGCUUCUGAAAAAUGGCCGACGAAUACUACUUUAGAUAGUACUAGUUGAUUUGGUUUCAGUGUUUGGGGUCUCCUUUUUCCUGUACGAAUUGAGUUUUUGACGACACUAAGCUAUAAGUUUGCAUGAGCUAAAUUA